RNAcentral lists this ribosomal RNA (510 nucleotides) under uncultured bacterium. RNAcentral describes it as "partial 16S ribosomal RNA". It matches the Rfam family "Bacterial small subunit ribosomal RNA", at positions 28 to 507 of the family's 1533-position model. The record is from RNAcentral.
GACGAACGCUGGCGGCGUGCUUAACACAUGCAAGUCGAACGAAGAGCGAUGGAAGCUUGCUUCUAUCAAUCUUAGUGGCGAACGGGUGAGUAACGCGUAAUCAACCUGCCCUUCAGAGGGGGACAACAGUUGGAAACGACUGCUAAUACCGCAUACGAUCUAAUCUCGGCAUCGAGGAAAGAUGAAAGGUGGCCUCUAUUUAUAAGCUAUCACUGAAGGAGGGGAUUGCGUCUGAUUAGCUAGUUGGAGGGGUAACGGCCCACCAAGGCGAUGAUCAGUAGCCGGUCUGAGAGGAUGAACGGCCACAUUGGGACUGAGACACGGCCCAGACUCCUACGGGAGGCAGCAGUGGGGAAUCUUCCGCAAUGGACGAAAGUCUGACGGAGCAACGCCGCGUGAGUGAUGACGGCCUUCGGGUUGUAAAGCUCUGUUAAUCGGGACGAAAGGCCUUCUUGCGAACAGUUAGAAGGAUUGACGGUACCGGAAUAGAAAGCCACGGCUAGCUACGUG